RNAcentral lists this ribosomal RNA (527 nucleotides) under Labena grallator. RNAcentral describes it as "eukaryotic LSU rRNA". It matches the Rfam family "Eukaryotic large subunit ribosomal RNA", at positions 666 to 1138 of the family's 3401-position model. The record is from RNAcentral. Lineage: Eukaryota; Metazoa; Arthropoda; Insecta; Hymenoptera; Ichneumonidae.
CCAAGGAGUCUAACAUGUGCGCGAGUCAUUGGGAACUGAAAAGCCCAAAGGCGCAAUGAAAGUGAAGGUCGGCCUCGCGCCGACCGAGGGAGGAUGGGCCGCGUCACGAUGCGGUCCCGCACUCCCGGGGCGUCUCGUUCUCAUUGCGAGAAGAGGCGCACCCAGAGCGUACACGUUGGGACCCGAAAGAUGGUGAACUAUGCCUGGUCAGGACGAAGUCAGGGGAAACCCUGAUGGAGGUCCGUAGCGAUUCUGACGUGCAAAUCGAUCGUCGGAACUGGGUAUAGGGGCGAAAGACUAAUCGAACCAUCUAGUAGCUGGUUCCCUCCGAAGUUUCCCUCAGGAUAGCUGGCACUCGCGUGUUCGUAAGAACUUGUACGAGUCUCAUCUGGUAAAGCGAAUGAUUAGAGGCCUUGGGGCCGAAACGACCUCAACCUAUUCUCAAACUUUAAAUGGGUGAGAUCUCUGGCUUGCUUGAACGUUGAAGCCACGAGAUUUCGGAUCAGAGUGCCAAGUGGGCCAAUUUU